UCACAGAGGAUCGAGCGGACCAUGACGCGCCCAAGACUGAAGAAAAGUCAGCGAAUAAGCUGCCGAAGAAAAGCGCAAGACGAAGAACAAAGACGAAGACGCCAAUAAAGGAUACACGGUUUGGAUAUGAGGUUUAUACGACUGGGUCGUAUGUAUAUCGUAUAUGUUUUUGUCUGCGCUGCUGUAUUCUUAUUCUGCUGGACCUAAUGUUGCCAGCUAUUUUUAGUCAGUCACUACUAUAGUGCAUUUUGCAUGUCUAUGAA
Molecule: non-coding RNA, 263 nt
Organism: Ciona intestinalis (vase tunicate)
Lineage: Eukaryota; Metazoa; Chordata; Ascidiacea; Phlebobranchia; Cionidae
Source: RefSeq, a predicted model, not a curated record